Molecule: long non-coding RNA, 776 nt
Filed under: Homo sapiens (human)
Lineage: Eukaryota; Metazoa; Chordata; Mammalia; Primates; Hominidae
Description: HSALNT0307635
Source: RNAcentral
AAGCAAGACUUUGUCUUGCUUUCAUCAGUGCAUGGACAUUUGAGCUCUUUCAACUUUUUGGCUAUGAUGAACAUGUUUGGAAUGCUAUGAACAUUUAUGCACAAGUUCUGGUUAUGGAGAAGAAAACUAAGACACACAGAGGAAAUGAAUAUUUCCAUAAGGAAUAAAUAAUAAAGAUGUGAGAGAAUUCAACUGAUCAAUGUGUUUCCAGAAGGUUGGUUAUGCUCCAUUGGUCAGAACAACAACACUUGAGGAAUUGUUUCCUCUGUCAUGCCAUAUACCUGAUGCAGAAGAGAAUGUAACAGUAUGGAAAAUGCUUCUGAUAUGAUUGUAAGUGAAAAAAAUAAACUCCAAGCAGAAAGCCCUAAAGGCCCUGUCCUGACCCCCUGUUCCCUCCCUUACUUCACUUCCUAUGACUUUCCUUACUGUUCCCUGCAUUCCAGCCCCAUUGACCUCCUAGGCAUGUCCCUGCCCAGGGACCUCACAUUGGCUCUGGCCCUUGUCUAGACCUCUCUUUCCCUAGAUAUCCAUGUGACUAACUACUUCUUCUCUUUUGAGAUUGUUUCUAGUGUCAGGAUCUCACGUAGGUCUACUCUUUUAUCCUAUUUAAACUUUCAAUGCCCUUCCCCAAACUCCGAGCACACCUUUCCCCUGCCAUAUUUUCUCUAAUUUUUUAACUAUAGUAUGGCAAAACUUUCUAAUAUCAACAUACUUUACUUCUCUCUCUCUCUCUGUUGGGAUCUCACUAUGUUGCUUAGGUUCCCGGCUUGAACUGA